RNAcentral lists this ribosomal RNA (793 nucleotides) under uncultured bacterium. RNAcentral's name for it is "bacterial SSU rRNA". It matches the Rfam family "Bacterial small subunit ribosomal RNA", at positions 8 to 796 of the family's 1533-position model. The record is from RNAcentral.
AGAGUUUGAUCCUGGCUCAGAUUGAACGCUGGCGGAAUGCUUUACACAUGCAAGUCGAACGAUGAACCUUAGCUUGCUAAGGGGAUUAGUGGCGAACGGGUGAGUAAUAUAUCGGAACGUACCUUGUAAUGGGGGAUAACUAGUCGAAAGAUUAGCUAAUACCGCAUACGCCCUGAGGGGGAAAGUAGGGGAUCUUCGGACCUUACGUUAUAAGAGCGGCCGAUAUCUGAUUAGCUAGUUGGUGGGGUAAUGGCCUACCAAGGCGACGAUCAGUAGCUGGUCUGAGAGGACGACCAGCCACACUGGAACUGAGACACGGUCCAGACUCCUACGGGAGGCAGCAGUGGGGAAUUUUGGACAAUGGGCGCAAGCCUGAUCCAGCCAUUCCGCGUGAGUGAAGAAGGCCUUCGGGUUGUAAAGCUCUUUCGCAAGGGAAGAAAACUUACAUUCUAAUAAAGUGUGAGGCUGACGGUACCUUGAUAAGAAGCACCGGCUAACUACGUGCCAGCAGCCGCGGUAAUACGUAGGGUGCGAGCGUUAAUCGGAAUUACUGGGCGUAAAGCGUGCGCAGGCGGUUUUGUAAGUCAGAUGUGAAAUCCCCGAGCUCAACUUGGGAACUGCGUUUGAAACUACAAGACUAGAAUAUGUCAGAGGGGGGUAGAAUUCCACGUGUAGCAGUGAAAUGCGUAGAGAUGUGGAGGAAUACCAAUGGCGAAGGCAGCCCCCUGGGAUAAUAUUGACGCUCAUGCACGAAAGCGUGGGGAGCAAACAGGAUUAGAUACCCUGGUAGUCC